GUGCCAGCCGCCGCGGUAAUACGUAGGGGGCAAGCGUUGUCCGGAAUCACUGGGCGUAAAGCGCAUGUAGGCGGGAUAUUAAGUCAGGUGUGAAAACUACAGGCUCAACCUGUAGAUUGCAUUUGAAACUGGUAUUCUUGAGUAUUGGAGAGGAAAGUGGAAUUCCUAGUGUAGCGGUGAAAUGCGUAGAUAUUAGGAGGAACACCAGUGGCGAAGGCGACUUUCUGGCCAAAAACUGACGCUGAGAUGCGAAAGCGUGGGGAGCAAACAGGAUUAGAAACCCCCGUAGUCC
This 292-nucleotide ribosomal RNA is filed under the name uncultured prokaryote. Its description in RNAcentral is "partial 16S ribosomal RNA". It matches the Rfam family "Bacterial small subunit ribosomal RNA", at positions 505 to 796 of the family's 1533-position model. The record is from RNAcentral.